UACGUAGGGGGCAAGCGUUGUUCGGAAUUACUGGGCGUAAAGCGCGUGUAGGCGGCCCGAUAAGUCCGCUGUGAAAGUCCAGGGCUCAACCCCUGGGAUGCCGGUGGAUACUGUCGGGCUCGAGUCCGGAAGAGGCGAGUGGAAUCCUGGUGUAGCGGUGAAAUGCGCAGAUAUCAGGAGGAACACCAGUGGCGAAGGCGGCUCACUGGACCGGUACUGACGCUGAUGCACGAAAGCUAGGGGAGCAAACAGG
This 253-nucleotide ribosomal RNA is filed under the name uncultured bacterium. Its description in RNAcentral is "partial 16S ribosomal RNA". It matches the Rfam family "Bacterial small subunit ribosomal RNA", at positions 524 to 776 of the family's 1533-position model. The record is from RNAcentral.